RNAcentral lists this transfer RNA (71 nucleotides) under Marmota monax (woodchuck). Its description in RNAcentral is "tRNA.Ala". The stretch from base 6 to 66 matches the Rfam family "tRNA", at positions 6 to 65 of the family's 71-position model. From Rfam's summary of the family: Transfer RNA (tRNA) molecules are approximately 80 nucleotides in length. Their secondary structure includes four short double-helical elements and three loops (D, anti-codon, and T loops). Further hydrogen bonds mediate the characteristic L-shaped molecular structure. tRNAs have two regions of fundamental functional importance: the anti-codon, which is responsible for specific mRNA codon recognition, and the 3' end, to which the tRNAs corresponding amino acid is attached (by aminoacyl-tRNA synthetases). tRNAs cope with the degeneracy of the genetic code in two manners: having more than one tRNA (with a specific anti-codon) for a particular amino acid; and 'wobble' base-pairing, i.e. permitting non-standard base-pairing at the 3rd anti-codon position. Lineage: Eukaryota; Metazoa; Chordata; Mammalia; Rodentia; Sciuridae. The record is from RNAcentral.
GAGAUUGUGGCUCAGUGGUAGAGUACUCACCUAGCAUGUGUGAGGCCCUGGGUUCGAUCCUCAGCACCACA